CUCCAGACUCCUACGGGAGGCAGCAGUGAGGAAUAUUGGUCAAUGGGCGGGAGCCUGAACCAGCCAAGUCGCGUGAAGGAAGAAGGUACUUAGUAUUGUAAACUUCUUUUGUCGGGGAACAAAGGCGGAGACGCGUCUCCGGAUGAGUGUACCCGAAGAAAAAGCAUCGGCUAACUCCGUGCCAGCAGCCGCGGUAAUACGGAGGAUGCGAGCGUUAUCCGGAUUUAUUGGGUUUAAAGGGUGCGUAGGUGGUUAAUUAAGUCAGCGGUGAAAGUUUGUGGCUCAACCAUAAAAUUGCCGUUGAAACUGGUUGACUUGAGUAUAUUUGAGGUAGGCGGAAUGCGUGGUGUAGCGGUGAAGUGCUUAGAUAUCACGAAGAACUCCGAUUGCGAAGGCAGCUUACUAAACUGCCACUGACAUUGAUGCUCGAAAGUGUGGGUAUCAAACAGGAUUAGAUACCCGAGUA
Molecule: ribosomal RNA, 466 nt
Filed under: uncultured bacterium
Lineage: Bacteria
Description: bacterial SSU rRNA
Rfam family: Bacterial small subunit ribosomal RNA
Source: RNAcentral